GAUGAACGCUGGCGGCGUGCUUAACACAUGCAAGUCGAGCGAAGCACUUUUGCGGAUUUCUUCGGAUUGAAGCAACUGUGACUGAGCGGCGGACGGGUGAGUAACGCGUGGGUAACCUGCCUCAUACAGGGGGAUAACAGUUGGAAACGGCUGCUAAUACCGCAUAAGCGCACAGUACCGCAUGGUACGGUGUGAAAAACUCCGGUGGUAUGAGAUGGACCCGCGUCUGAUUAGCUAGUUGGUGGGGUAACGGCCUACCAAGGCGACGAUCAGUAGCCGACCUGAGAGGGUGACCGGCCACAUUGGGACUGAGACACGGCCCAAACUCCUACGGGAGGCAGCAGUGGGGAAUAUUGCACAAUGGGGGAAACCCUGAUGCAGCGACGCCGCGUGAGCGAUGAAGUAUUUCGGUAUGUAAAGCUCUAUUAGCAGGGAAGAAAAUGACGGUACCUGACUAAGAAGCCCCGGCUAACUACGUGCCAGCAGCCGCGGUAAUACGUAGGGGGCAAGCGUUAUCCGGAUUUACUGGGUGUAAAGGGAGCGUAGACGGCAUGGCAAGCCAGAUGUGAAAGCCCGGGGCUCAACCCCGGGACUGCAUUUGGAACUGUCAGGCUAGAGUGUCGGAGAGGAAAGCGGAAUUCCUAGUGUAGCGGUGAAAUGCGUAGAUAUUAGGAGGAACACCAGUGGCGAAGGCGGCUUUCUGGACGAUGACUGACGUUGAGGCUCGAAAGCGUGGGGAGCAAACAAGAGUAGAUACCCUGGUAGUCCACGCCGUAAACGAUGAAUAAUAGGUGUCGGGUGGCAAAGCCAUUCGGUGCCGCAGCAAACGCAAUAAGUAUUCCACCUGGGGAGGACGUUCGCAAGAAUGAAACUCAAAGGAAUUGACGGGGACCCGCACAAGCGGUGGAGCAUGUGGUUUAAUUUGAAGCAACGCGAAGAACCUUACCUGGUCUUGACAUCCCUCUGACCGCUCUUUAAUCGGAGCUUUCCUUCGGGACAGAGGAGACAGGUGGUGCAUGGUUGUCGUCAGCUCGUGUCGUGAGAUGUUGGGUUAAGUCCCGCAACGAGCGCAACCCCUAUCUUUAGUAGCCAGCAUUUAAGGUGGGCACUCUAGAGAGACUGCCAGGGAUAACCUGGAGGAAGGUGGGGAGGACGUCAAAUCAUCAUGCCCCUUAUGACCAGGGCUACACACGUGCUACAAUGGCGUAAACAAAGGGAAGCGAGCCCGCGAGGGGGAGCAAAUCCCAAAAAUAACGUCUCAGUUCGGAUUGUAGUCUGCAACUCGACUACAUGAAGCUGGAAUCGCUAGUAAUCGCGAAUCAGAAUGUCGCGGUGAAUAAAAUCCCGGGUCUUGCACA
RNAcentral lists this ribosomal RNA (1358 nucleotides) under uncultured bacterium. RNAcentral describes it as "bacterial SSU rRNA". It matches the Rfam family "Bacterial small subunit ribosomal RNA", at positions 28 to 1387 of the family's 1533-position model. The record is from RNAcentral.